This 1092-nucleotide ribosomal RNA is filed under the name Triticum aestivum (bread wheat). RNAcentral describes it as "partial small subunit ribosomal RNA". The record is from RNAcentral. Lineage: Eukaryota; Viridiplantae; Streptophyta; Magnoliopsida; Poales; Poaceae.
AUGAUGCCCGUGUCGAUGAUUUGCUCCUCCGUUAGCCAGUGCUCGGUGAUUUGUACAUCUGGUCGGCCUGUGCCUGCCAGAAACGCCUCCUCCCGGUCUUCCAUCACCACAUCGGUGAAGUGCACCCGCGCCUCACUGAUGGUGAUGCCGGCUUGGACAGACGAGGACCUUGGCACUGGUUCUUCAUCCACUAGCUCGUCUGUGUCGUUCCCUUCUGGGAGCUCGUUGGCAAGCCCACCGAGGCCAUCCCACAGGACUUCGGAGCUUGAGGCCAUGGCGGCGUGUGGUGCAGGGAGGACGAGAUCGGGAUCAAGAGCGGAGGUUGCUGUGUUUGCUGCCUGGAUAGAUUUAAAUGGCGAGGGAAUGUUAGGUGCCAAGCGGCAUGGAAAAAAGGAUGUCCAGACCGGACCGCAGGUGGAUGCGGGACUGUGUUCAAUGGCAAAACACGUCCGGACCGCGCGGUUCAGACGAAUGGCGGUUUGGGGGUCCUCUUGGGAGAGCGAAGGCAUCGAGAUUAUGCUCCACGCCAUUGGCCACCAGGACGGCAGACAGAGGGGAGGCGAAUCCACGAACAAGCCGAGUAGAGCCCCCAGAUCUGCCUUGUUCCGUGGUAGCCUGCAUUGGCACUCAUCAGGCAGCAUGGUAAUGGUAUUCGACACCACAUCUGAGUCGUUCCGGCGGAUGCGUUCACCAGUUUUCCCUGGUCAUGCUGACCUGUAUGAUAUUGGUGACAUGCUUGGGCUAUGCAGUCAUGACAAUGAGUGGACAAGUGUUAGUAUCUGGGCACAAGGCGAGAUCUGGACCUUAAAAUACCGUGUUAAAUUACCGGUUGCAGAAAUCGGGGUCCAUGAUAAGCUCGACAGUGAUUGGGAUGUGGUGGUCGGUUUUUGGGAUGGUGAUGUGGUCCUGCUGGUUACCGUUGAUGGCGGCAACAUGCUAUUUCAGGUUGACAUCAAUGGCAAGUUGGUUGCGACUAUCUGCUGUUGCAGAGACCUCUACUCAGCUCAUCUUUGGCUCAAACAAACUCUAGUUUUGCAUACCUUCUUUCCGACACUUGAGGGGUAUGCAGUGAAUGCUUUGCCAUUUAUCUGA